RNAcentral lists this non-coding RNA (21 nucleotides) under Caenorhabditis elegans. Lineage: Eukaryota; Metazoa; Nematoda; Chromadorea; Rhabditida; Rhabditidae. The record is from RNAcentral.
UAUUAUCCAUUUUAUAAAACG